UGGUGGAUUUUGCUCUUGGACCAUAUCUAGCUCUAUCCGUAAUGGCCAAAGUGGUCUACAUCAGUUUCGAGGAUCCUCUUAGGUCAAUAUCUUGGGACUACGAAAUGUUACAUGGCUUACAUAUAAGGAGGAAAAUCAAAUCUAAAAUGGAGAUUAUAAUCUAAAUCUUAGUCCAGUUUUUCUCUUUCUUAAUUAUAAACACAUUAAAAUAAUAGUUGGU
RNAcentral lists this long non-coding RNA (220 nucleotides) under Elaeis guineensis (African oil palm). RNAcentral's name for it is "long non-coding RNA (EGUI_LNC017469)". Lineage: Eukaryota; Viridiplantae; Streptophyta; Magnoliopsida; Arecales; Arecaceae. The record is from RNAcentral.